GUUUUUAUAGUUUAAUAUAAAACAUUGGUCUUGUAAACCAAAAAUAAAAAAUUUAUUUAAAAACU
RNAcentral lists this transfer RNA (65 nucleotides) under Biston panterinaria. RNAcentral describes it as "tRNA-Thr". It matches the Rfam family "tRNA". From Rfam's summary of the family: Transfer RNA (tRNA) molecules are approximately 80 nucleotides in length. Their secondary structure includes four short double-helical elements and three loops (D, anti-codon, and T loops). The record is from RNAcentral. Lineage: Eukaryota; Metazoa; Arthropoda; Insecta; Lepidoptera; Geometridae.